CAUGCGCUGAAGCCACAGAGAAAAACAGUUUUCCUAGUUGUCUGCGCGAGAGAACCUCCACGAGAUCAACAUGCCCAAGAGAAAGGGAGCAGAAGCCGGAGAAAAGGGGGAGCCGCAGCGGAGAUCGGCUCGGUUAUCAGCGAAGCCUAAUCCAGCUAAGGCGGAACCAAAGGUCAAGAAGGUGGCAAAGAAAGAAAAGGCUGUGAACGACAAGAAGGAGGACAAGAAGACUAAGAAGGCGAAGGAGAACGUCGAGGCCGAGGCGAACGAGGAAAACCACUCUGAGAACGGAGAGGCCAAGACCAACGAGGUGGAGGCAGCCCCCGAGGAGGCCAAGGAGGAGGCCAAGUCCGAGUAGCACCACUGCCCAAGCUUCCUCUUCCUCCUCUACAACCCCCCCACCAACCCCAACCCCACCCCCCCCCCCCAGCCAGCCAGCCAGCCCCCGCCCCAAGUCUCUCACAUGGUUUCCCUCCAAGGCGUAUUGUUAACAGAGGAAUAUUUUUAUCAAUGAUUUUAUAAGUAUCCGUACAGAUUUUUAGCACAAAAAGCAAAGCUGAUUAUGGAGCGCCUUGCAGAUUUGCAGUGGUCAUAUCAAGUGUCUGCAAGCAAGAUGAACACACUAAAAUCUUUUUUAAAUGGCAUUUCAUGAUUGUUGAAGGCUUGUUUGGUGUAGAAAUGUGUGUCCCUGCCGGAUUGGCUACGUUGUGAGUUGUGUAUUCCUGUGUUUUUCCGCUGUCCCCUGAUCUUCCCGCCUCCUCCCUUCUUCUUCCUCCACAGAUUAGACCUUCCUCCCCCCUACAGUUCAGCCUUUUAUCCAUGUUUUAUUAACGGUUUAGCUAUGUUAAUGUGGGUGAUUCUUUUAGGCCUCUAAAUGUGCAGUGAGUUCCCUUUGCUUCUGUCUCAUGGUCCCUUUUUUUUUUUUUUUUUUUUCAUUGAAGUUGUGCUUUAAAAAAAAAAAAAAAGCGUGUUGAAGAGUGUAGUCCAUAAGAAAGAGGAAGACGAACAUGCGAAAACAUUCCGGGAACAGCGAUUGCCUCCGACCCGUCUCCUAGACGACCCUGCGUGUAAAACAGCUCCUGCUCCAUCCACGCUGUCAUGUCAGCUUUUCUAAACACUCUGGUUUUUUUUAAAUCGAUUGAAUUUGGAAACCUUCUCUGACAAAUGCAGGUGUCUGGUCCCUCUCUUAUGUUCUGAAAUUCUCUUAAUAAAAAGAAGUCCUGGGAAUUUUCCUCGAACUGGUGUCUCGACUUUGUUUCUUUAAGGGACUUUUUUAUUAUGUGAUCGAAGUUGAAGCUUCAAUACUAUUAGCAAACAGUCAAAUUAUAAACUUUGCUAGCAUGUUUUUAUAAAUCACAGUCCUCUUCAGUCAUGGCUCAGGAUGCAUCUUCAAACCCCAGGCCCUCAUUUUGUCAAUAAAUACAUAAAUGUAUUAACUUGAAGUUUAAAAUUGAAAGCUACUUUGUAGCCUGCAAACAUGUACUCAACCAAGAAUACAUGCAGUCUCCAUUAUUCAC
RNAcentral lists this long non-coding RNA (1517 nucleotides) under Scophthalmus maximus (turbot). Its description in RNAcentral is "lncRNA (ENSSMAG00000022728.1)". Lineage: Eukaryota; Metazoa; Chordata; Actinopteri; Pleuronectiformes; Scophthalmidae. The record is from RNAcentral.